RNAcentral lists this non-coding RNA (173 nucleotides) under uncultured Lawsonibacter sp. RNAcentral's name for it is "malK-I RNA". It matches the Rfam family "malK-I RNA". Lineage: Bacteria; Bacillati; Bacillota; Clostridia; Eubacteriales; Oscillospiraceae. The record is from RNAcentral.
CCGGGGCUACUCCAUUCCUAUAGCCCCGGGAUCUGGAUAAAAAAGGAGGAAAAAAACAUCCGCCGGCCGGCGGUGCGGCAGUGUGGAGACCUGCCGUAAACCCGCCAGGGUUUCGCUCUCUGACGGGAAGGUCUCAUUUGCGGAGGCAGUGAGACCGCGGCCAACGCUUAUGU